UCAGAUUCUAUACUUUAAGAGAGAUGCUUCCUCCUCUUCUCCUCCUGCUGAACUUACAUCUCCUUCCUCAUCCUCAUCAGCCUCGUCUCAUGGGUCACCUGACCUCAGACAGCUGAAGCCCCAUUCCACCCCGCUCUCCUCCAGUUUGCUGCUGGCGUUUUACACCACUCUCAGAUACAGACUAGCGCAGGCCAGGACGCCAGAGCAGCCCAGUGAUGAGGAUGAUAAGGUCCUGGUUCCCUUCACUGUGACGGAUCUGAAGGGCCAAAACUUACAGCUGGUGAUGGAACAGUUAAGUCAGCUGACGCUGGACUCCAAGUAUCUCAUCAAAGAGGUCAUCAGGAAUGAUGCUGACUGGGGCUCCCAGUUCUGCUCAUUCAGUGACUAUGACGUCCUCAUCCUCGAGGUGGUGUGGUUUUGUUUGGGAGGAGCUGCUGUGUUGUGGGUGUUGUUUUUGCUCUGAUUUGUUCACAGAACGCAUUAGUGCUGCCCAUUUGGUCUGUGCAUGUUGGUUUUUUCCAUUCUAUGUUCCAUAGGUCUUUUCAAAGUCUUUGUUAAAGAAUUAAAAGCCAUCAAUCAAUCCAAGCAGUUAUGAGGAGAAUCACAACAUUA
Carassius auratus (goldfish) is the source of this 612-nucleotide long non-coding RNA. RefSeq lists it as uncharacterized. The record is from RefSeq and is a predicted model, not a curated record. The transcript has 3 exons. Lineage: Eukaryota; Metazoa; Chordata; Actinopteri; Cypriniformes; Cyprinidae.